This is a long non-coding RNA of Lates calcarifer (barramundi perch), 164 nucleotides long. RefSeq lists it as uncharacterized. Lineage: Eukaryota; Metazoa; Chordata; Actinopteri; Centropomidae. The record is from RefSeq and is a predicted model, not a curated record. The transcript has 3 exons.
CAGUUAGCAGGGCUAACAGGUAGCAGGGCUAACAGGUAGCAGGUCUAACAGCUAACAGGUUUAACAGCUAACAGGUCUAACAGGUAGCAGGGCUAACAGGUAGCAGGGCUAACAGCUAACAGGUUUAACAGCUAACAGGUCUAACAGGUAGCAGGUCUAACAGU